UUGAAAGGGAAACGAUUGAAGUCAGUCAUACCAACGGGAAAUCAACCUUUUGAGCUUGGUCUCGUGGGUUUUGAAGAGUUUCAAAGCCUUCGGAUUCGCGGUAUUGGGAUCUCUCGGUGUACUUUUUCGUACGGUUAGUCAACAUCGGUUUUGAAUGUCAUAAAAUGACUGGAGGAAUGUAGCUUCGAUCUCGUAUUGAAGUGUUAUAGCCUUUGGUAGAUGUGAUGUUUGAGACCGAGGAUUGCAACGGAUACCCUUCAGGGCUAUUCGUCUGAUCUCUGAUACGUUGCCUUGAUGUUGAAAGCUUGCUUAUGAUGUUAGGGUAUUACGGUCAAAAGGUUAGAACGAAUUACAUUCGUUAAGGAUGUUGACGUA
RNAcentral lists this ribosomal RNA (375 nucleotides) under uncultured Glomus. RNAcentral describes it as "LSU rRNA". Lineage: Eukaryota; Fungi; Glomeromycota; Glomeromycetes; Glomerales; Glomeraceae. The record is from RNAcentral.